RNAcentral lists this unclassified non-coding RNA (1206 nucleotides) under Zea mays. RNAcentral's name for it is "misc RNA Zm00001eb414670". The record is from RNAcentral. Lineage: Eukaryota; Viridiplantae; Streptophyta; Magnoliopsida; Poales; Poaceae.
CAAAAGGCAGGCAUGGCGUGGCAAACCAUCACGGCAUCUCUCUCUCUAGUCUCUACUUUUUCAUCAGUCAUCACCGCAACACAAACACGGCCUUCACAAGACGCAAAAGGGCACACACCUCUUUCUAGCUUCUAUACACACACCUCGAGCUCACAUACACUCCCAUCUCCCCCUCUAUCUGGAGAGAGAGAGAGAAAGAGACAUGGGGUCAUCUCUCUCCCCGUCAUCCGUCGCCGCGCUCACCACCGCAGCCCAUGGGCACCGCUACCACCUGUCCUCCUCCUCCUCCUCCGACUACUACGAAGACGACGGCUUCGAGUUCACGCCACUCCUACCCAGGCCGCGGCGCCGGCACAGCGCGCGCACGGAGCGUCCAAGAACCGUCGCCCAGGCUGCGGCCACGACGGCGGCCCAGCCGCAGCCUCCCCAGCUGCGCGCGCGCCGCGGAGCGCCAAGCGUCGUGGCCGCGACGCCGGCGGCGCCACCAACACCAAGGAAGCAGCAGGUGCGGUGGCACGACAUGGCGUUCGGGUCCGCGCGCGUGCCGGCGGCCAUGGACAUGGGCGAGAUCAGGAGGCGCCUGAGGGCGCGGCAGCUGGCUCUGGCCGGUGGCCCCGCCGGGAACGAGCGGCCGCCAUCCUCCGCCGCGGGGUGGGCGCCGUGGAGGCUCAUACGGUCGCUCAGCUGCAAGGGCCUCGAGCCCGUGGCGGCUGCCGCGGCGCCGGUGAGGCUGGUGUAGUGUAGGCACGUACGUACAGUCAGUACGGUCUGAGCCUACGAUCGACAGAGCGAUCGAGGUGGACGUAACGUACGACGUACGUACGGCAGGUGUUGGUGUUGGACUGUUGGUUAUGGAUCGAGGCUGUGCUGGUGCGGCCCGUGAAGGCCGAGAGUGCGGCGCCGGCCGGUGAACCGGCGCGUGCACGGCGGCGUGCGUGGCGUCACGCGAGUGGCGCCAAAUGUUGUUGGUGGAAGUUGAAAGGCACGAGCAAAGGCGGUGCCUAUUGUUAGUGUUCAGCUUCGUUUUUCGUCGUGUUUCUGGUUUCAAUAAACCUUUUCCCUCUUUCUUUCUGUUUGGGUGUUUAAUGUUGGGAGAUCAGCUGUGGCUAGGGCAUGCAUGUACAACUCUAAGGUUGUCUCUGUAUUUUUUCUCUAUAUAUGUCAUUUAUAGUUUUUUCUAAAAGGUAUAUCUUCUUUUUCUCCGGC